This is a long non-coding RNA of Anopheles coluzzii, 625 nucleotides long. RefSeq lists it as uncharacterized. NCBI's taxonomy places the organism in Eukaryota, Metazoa, Arthropoda, Insecta, Diptera, Culicidae. The record is from RefSeq and is a predicted model, not a curated record. The transcript is spliced from 2 exons.
UAAUUAGUUAUUUGAUCUAAUUUCAACUGAAUUUUUCAAUUUUAUACCAUUUGAAAUGGUUUUUAAUAUUCAACCAAAAGGGAAUUUAUUUUGCAUUUGACAUUCGAUUUCUAAAAUUAGUACGACUUGUUCAAAGAACCGUCAAAUUUAGAAAAAAAGCGUAUAGCGAAAUCGUGUAUAUCGAGUAUGGCGUAUAUCGGGGAAUACCUGUAUAGCCACACGAGGAAGGCGCUGCUUCGCGUUCACAUGAAAAUGUGGUAGUGUGAAAUCAAGUUUGCAAGCGGUAGGACGCGUCGGUGUGUGUCCGUUUUUUCUCUCGUGAAACCAGUACGGAAAAACUAUUUGAAAUCGUAACACACGCACGAACGGAAGUGAGCACGGACCACAACAGAAGCAAUAUUCAAUUGGUUGGUAAGUAUUGUGCUUGACGUUAAAUUGAACAGCUGUUGGCAAAAUAGUUAAUAUUUCCUUCUAUCCCUAGGAGUGCCGAAAACAGAACAGGAGAGGAAAGAAGGCAGGAACGAUCCGAUCCUCCAACGUGCUAGCGCCUGGUAGAGGAGAAGCGGCAGGAAGGUAGAGACGAACAUCCAGCUCGCUAGUGCAGCACGUGGGAGCAGCAAGAGGG